Molecule: long non-coding RNA, 1837 nt
Filed under: Helianthus annuus (common sunflower)
Lineage: Eukaryota; Viridiplantae; Streptophyta; Magnoliopsida; Asterales; Asteraceae
Description: hypothetical non coding rna
Source: RNAcentral
GCUCAUUUCUUUCUUCUUCUCUCUAUACGUUGGUGUUCUAACCAAUAAUCACCGAUGCGAUGUUCUGUCCGAUCGAUUCAUGAACCAACUAACGGAUGCCAAAGUAUUGUAUUUUGUGAGUUCGUUAAAACGGAUGCCAAAAUGCUGUCUAAACAAGACUAUACUUUGUGAAUUUCGUUAAGGUUCGAAUCUCGUGACUACCGUUAAGGUUUGAUUUGGGUUUUACACAAAUACGUAUUCCAUUCUGUUAAACUAUAUGUUUAACUACCGAAAAUACUCCCCACUACACACACGCGAAUCACUAAUUAGUAUAGCAGGGUGCUGCUACGAUACAGGGUAUUAACUUGAUCGCUAUUACGAUUCAUUUUCCGACCGGUCAAUAUAUCCAAUGGAUGUUUAAGUGCCACCCACAUUAGGGUUAUACUUUGUCGUUCAUCGUUAAAUCGAUGGAUGUUUAAGUAUCGCACUUUGUUGUUCGUUGUAAGAAUUUGAUCUCGUGAGUUAUCGUAAUUGUUGUAUUAAGUUACCUACCUAGUUCGUGUGCACUAGGUUACAAGGCUAAAUCAAUAGGCUAAGCUCUGCCUGUAUAAAUCUGCAAUAUAUCAAGGCUUAUCUGUAGACUAAACUUUGGCCGUAUGAAUCUGCAUGUUUAUAAUGUAAUUACAGUAGAUUGGAGUAAGAAUUGGAUCCGGCACUGAAAGACUUCAAGAAGUGGCUUAUUUUAUUAAUUAAAUCAAAUUAAGAAAUAUUGUUUUUAUUAAAAAGCUACCUUUGUAAAACAUGGAAUUUAUUCCAUCUAUUUAAAUAAAAUCCGGUGUUUCUAAACUCUGAUAUUUUUCCUAACUCACGGUCCUGAUGAAAUUUCCGCUGUAAUGUUUUUCAAAAAUAAUCACCGGUACCACUGGACUGCUCACGGCUUCCGAUUCCGGCCAGGAUGGGGUCGGGGGUCGUGACAAUACAUACACACAUCAAGAGAAUAAAAAGGAAAAGAGAAAGGUUAUAUGUGCAUGGUUCACAAAAGAAACAGUAAAGUGAAUAUGUGGCUUACGGAUUUAUGUUAAGGCUUACGGUUUAAAUAAUGGUUUGAGGAGCCAUUUUUCGGGGGUUACGAGUGGUGAUCGAUAAAAACACCAUGGGGGAUCAUUCAACCUUCAGCUAAUCCACCUCUAACACCCACCAUCCAUCUCCAACAUCAUCUAACUUACCUAUAACCUUAAACCCUAACCGAUUCACCAUUACUAUCAUCAUCCCAUCAUCACCACCAUCUUAAUCCAUUCUCCACCAUCCUUUCACCUUCACCUUCAAACCCUAACCUCCAUCACUCCUCCUCGACUCAAAGUCAUGGCUCGGUGUUCGCGCUCGUCUCCAGGUGAUCGCGUCCAUUCAACCAUGAACGGUUAGUCUCUUCAGUUUCACCCCGGUGUGGAUUGUUGUAAGAUUUUCUAGGGUUUAUGCGAUUGUUUCUUGCUUCAACUUUGUGACAAAUUGUGUUUGAUUUUUGAAACCAUUGACAACAGUUUACAUUUGUUUCGUAUUCGUAAAUUGUCGAACGAUGUUAAACGUUAUGACUUUACGAAAUGGUUAUGUGUAGUUAUGCAUUGUCGUGGUUAGGUUUUACUUGUGUUGAUUACAAAGUGCAAGAAAAAGAGUAGCUAUCAUGUGCAGAUGUAAGACUUUUGUGGGAAUCAUUCAACUACAUCAUCAUUCACGAUUUUGGUGAGUAUUAUUAUUUUGGAAAAAAAAGAAUAGAAUUCACAAGAAAAGAAAAGAUAAUUCAUCUUAUAAGAAAGAGAAGGAAGAGACGUACAAGGAGGACUUUUUGGCAUUAAAUACAUAC